This is a long non-coding RNA of Dermochelys coriacea (leatherback sea turtle), 1167 nucleotides long. RefSeq lists it as uncharacterized. NCBI's taxonomy places the organism in Eukaryota, Metazoa, Chordata, Testudines, Dermochelyidae. The transcript has 3 exons. The record is from RefSeq and is a predicted model, not a curated record.
GAGGAGAGUGGAUGAUGCUCCAGGCUGGCUGCUGGGAUGCCACAAGGGCAAGGCCCUGAGCCUGUGUAUGACCUGGCUGGAGGGCUGAGUCACCACAAACAGAGAGAGAGAGAGUGCAGGCACACGCACUUGGCCAGGGGGCAGUCGUGAGAGGCCCAUCAUAAUAACCCGAAAGCUGAACACUUAUCCACCUUAGCCCAGCCCUCCCCAAGUGCCUGACCACAAAUGAUUUGCAGCAUGUCUAGCUCCGGCAGACCAAGGGCAGGAAGUGAAUUCCAAAGUACCCAAUGGAAACUGACUGAAAAGCCAUCAGACUUUUAAACCAGGGAGCUGCUAGAUAAAGUAUCUCUGGUGCUGUUGCCUGAAGGACAGAAGAAGCCUCUUGGGUAACCUGGUCCUACACAUUUUACAUCUUAAAUUCCCCUUGGCAGAUUAUAGUCAGCACCACCAUACAGUGCCCUUUGCAAUGUCACUUGAUAAGUGGGGGUGCUGCACUCAGCUGCACAAUUUCAAGGUGUCGCUCCAUAUAGACUGAGUUACGGCAAUCUAGUCAUGGCUAGCUGCAGUAGUGUCCCUGAACGCUAGGGGAGCACACAGGGAAGUACUCCUUGCUUACAUCUGUGUAGCAGGCGUAAGCAGCACUUCUCCAAGUGUAGCCCUGGGGCUACUCGGGCAUUCCCCUCUGAAGAGUUACUUCUGGUGGAAGCAGUAGCAGACUGUUCCCUCUCCAGCACUGGGUGGCAGAUUCUCUCUCCAAGUGGGUGUGCUGUGGGUGUGCGCCUCUCCUUUUUAUGCCCCACUUUGUUUGCUCUGUGUUGGAGCAGGCAUAAUUUGGUUCAAUAUGGGGAACCAGUUGUAUAAGUUUAGGAAUAGAAAUACCAGCCUCUGCGAGCAUAUAUGCUGAUAUGUUUAAUGCUGUAUUGAUGGUCUCUGUUGGUUUUAAAUCCAUGCUGAGCAGAUGCGAUUAGUUUUCUCCAGAGUUUGUAGAUGUUUUCCCGAUGAAAUUCAGAAAAGGUCCAUAUUGCAUUAAAGUCAUUCUAAGUUAUCUUUGAUCACAAAUGUAACCUUUUAGUAUGAGGCUGCUGUUGCAAGAUCUGUUAAAAAUACACUUUUAUAGAUGAAUCUCCUUCUGGUUCUACGGACUAAUCCUUUUAGCAAUUACUAGGC